CAAGGGGAAAAAACCCUUUCCCGAUCGAGAAACCCUCGCCUAGUCGCCGCCGCCCUCGUUAGUCAUCAACCGCGUUUCCCCGCCGGCCGCCGCGCCGCCCGCCUGGUCCGGUGUCCUGACCACCUGCCUCUCCUUCUUUCGAUCUUAUCGAAGUGUUCCUAUAUUACAGUGCACGCACACAUUGCGGUACAGCGGCACAGGAGAUUAUAAGUCCAAGAUGAAGAGAACCCGUACAGUUGAAUCUUUCCAAUCAGUUGAGCGUGAUGAAACACAAGGGGCUACUACCUCGUGGACUUUGUGAAAUGAUCCAGGUACUUCUACUAUUGCUGGUGAAGAAAUGAUGGCCUUGAAUUAAGGAAGUCUUUGGUAAUUUGGUACCAAACCAUGUUUGCAAUGAUGCACUUUGUUAAACUAUCUUUUUUACGGAAUUUCCUCUUGUGAUAGUAAUGAAUUUAUAUUUCAUUUUGAA
Molecule: long non-coding RNA, 469 nt
Organism: Triticum aestivum (bread wheat)
Lineage: Eukaryota; Viridiplantae; Streptophyta; Magnoliopsida; Poales; Poaceae
Exons: 3
Source: RefSeq, a predicted model, not a curated record